GACGAACGCUGGCGGCGUGCCUAAUACAUGCGAGUAGAACGCUGAAGGAGGAGCUUGCUUCUCUGGAUGAGUUGCGAACGGGUGAGUAACGCGUAGGUAACCUGCCUGGUAGCGGGGGAUAACUAUUGGAAACGAUAGCUAAUACCGCAUAAUAGUAGAUGUUGCAUGACAUUUACUUAAAAGGUGCAAUUGCAUCACUACCAGAUGGACCUGCGUUGUAUUAGCUAGUUGGUGGGGUAACGGCUCACCAAGGCGACGAUACAUAGCCGACCUGAGAGGGUGAUCGGCCACACUGGGACUGAGACACGGCCCAGACUCCUACGGGAGGCAGCAGUAGGGAAUCUUCGGCAAUGGACGAAAGUCUGACCGAGCAACGCCGCGUGAGUGAAGAAGGUUUUCGGAUCGUAAAGCUCUGUUGUAAGAGAAGAACGAGUGUGAGAGUGGAAAGUUCACACUGUGACGGUAUCUUACCAGAAAGGGACGGCUAACUACGUG
This 495-nucleotide ribosomal RNA is filed under the name uncultured bacterium. Its description in RNAcentral is "partial 16S ribosomal RNA". It matches the Rfam family "Bacterial small subunit ribosomal RNA", at positions 28 to 507 of the family's 1533-position model. The record is from RNAcentral.